RNAcentral lists this non-coding RNA (28 nucleotides) under Mus musculus (house mouse). The record is from RNAcentral. Lineage: Eukaryota; Metazoa; Chordata; Mammalia; Rodentia; Muridae.
UGGAUAUCUUAGCAUUCAUGUUAAUCCA